UACAAGCAAUCUCCCCCAAAACAAACAAAGCCCCCUAGUCAACAAUUGUGCAUUUAUUAAUUUUGGGAUUAUAAACAACCAACCUGCCUUUGUUUCGAAGAGAAACCACAGCCUGAUCAUCUCCUUUACUCUUUCACUGAAGCCCAGCGGCUCUGUAUAAAACUCAAACACCCCAUGGCUCUUGUUUAUCCCCUCUCUGCUCCUCUAGAUCGCCCUCCAGUGGUUAUUGGUCUGUGGCUCAGUUCAGCCCCGUCUCGUCGUGGUUUCCUCCCAGACGGUCUGUGAGACGCUCUUUAUCUCCUCUUACGCUCCACGCGUCCUGAGACGUCUUCAAAUAACAGGGCUCUGUAAAAUUCCCCCAAACUCUCAUGGGUCACCUUUGACCUGGCGCAUGGCAAGUUCCCGUCUCGUUCUCUCUCUCUGCAGUGAACUGACAGAUCCACUCUACGGGAGAGCAGCGCCGUUAUCCGUAUCAGCCGCCAUCUGGAUAUCGAUCCCUCGACAGCGUCCUCAGAGCGUCCCGUGAUGACAGGCUGUCACAGCUCUCACUUUAUGAACUAAUCAUUUCACAUGCUUAUUAUACACUCAGAACAAACAGCUGUGAGUGUCUCAUCAAGCGACUCUAUUUCCUAACGCAUGCAACUGUUCAUAACGCUCUUUUUCAGGUGAAAGUCUCUGAAUAUUUGGAGUGCGCCGCAUACGUUUUCGGGGGCCGUCGAGUGUUUGCGUGCCAGCAGAUGAUGCUCUGGAUUGCUCAAAGCCCUCAGGAGCAACUAGACGGCGUGGUGCUGGUGUUUGUAAGGCAAUUACAGAUGACUGGGAAGAACGUGCUGACUCUGGUGUCUGCACUUUAUCUGUGAAAUUUCUCCUUCCUCUCCGAUAAUCAUCUGUUGUUUGCUUUGGCUGGAGGCGACACAGUUAUCUCAGACUCAUAAUGGAUCGUCUCCCUAAAGCCACACCCCUGCAGAAUGAGUGACAGACAAAAAACACAAUGAAGAGGAUUUCCUAUUUACCGCCGCACCUUCCGUCAGAUUGAGAGAUACCCCGAAGAACGGAAGAGACGUCCUUUGAAAUGUGUGGAGCGCUGUAUGGGAAAGACGAACGUCUCUCCUGUAGGCAUCCAGGCCUCCCUGAAGCAGAACACGCACCGGCCGGGGCUCAUGGGAACUGUAGGCAUAUGACACGUCAAAACCUGAGGCUCUUUCACGGAUGGAUGACGCACUUUCUCAUUUCUCCCGCUGUCUUCGUGAUCUCGGGAUGAGAGGCUGUGCGGAAGGGCAGGUGGAGGUCACAGACACCGGCUCUGUCACUAUACACACCACGAGCAACAAGAAGAUACGUUCCCGUUGCUGCUUGUGUGUGCCGCUCACCUGCUGAGCGUUAGAUUGCUCUCAGGCUUUGACUAAUUGCUUUUCUUCGGCGAGAGAGUGAGAAGAAGCCAUUCGCCUUUGUGAAUUUACUGAAGCUCUGAACGUGUGGGAUCUGGUGCCGUUUCUGGCACCUCCGUCCCAGGCGACUUCUGUCCUGGCGCAGAUUGAUGUCUGGAGUCGUGCGGUGCACAGAAGCCCAAUCCCAGCUAGCGGGGAACGUUUUCACAACAUUGAGACAACCUUGCCAGAAUGUUCGCCAGAACUCGAACGCUCAAACAGCAGGAGGCGCUUUCACACAUCUUCUGAAAAAUUACAUCAUUUAUGGAUCCAGAAACAGUCCAGGAAAACAUGUGCCCUAUCUCUGGACUUCAGGUUGAAGUUUUACCUCAGCACUCCGUUGGGAAUAAUCUCAGAGUCUGGAUGGCCAGGACUCUUGGGACGCCAGCAGCUGAUAAUGAGUUGACACGCAGCCCACGUUAACGUCGUUGAGGAAAGCAACGUCUACGGUUAACACACGCCAGUCACGUGGCACAAACCAGUGGGAUCCAUCAAGAUGUUUGAUUAGUGUCUCAGAAGAGCGUCUCUGCUGAAAUCUCUGCCUCUUUAAAAUGAGCCUGCAAUCAAAGCACAGGCGGCUGGAGAUCGGGCUCGCUCUCAAAGGCCCCCCGACUCUCUUAACCUGUGAAGAGCGCAUUACAUCAUAAAGACUCCUGCUACAAAUGGAUGAAAUUUAGCAGCCAUCCUCUCCACAUGUGUGUAUUGUGGUGCAAGACUGCUUUGGGGAGGUCACCGAGUGUGUCAGAUUCUUCUUCAUCCACACACACUCGUUUACGCUGUCAAUAUUCAGCAGUCUAAAGAUGAAAACCACGAGUCUGGCGUAAAGGACUGUUGAAGUUUGCUUGAGGUAUUCCUCCAGAUCUCAGCGGGAUCAUAACAUCUGAAGUGAGCAGAAACGCUCGUAAAGGACAGAAACAAUCCGCACUCAACAUCCCGCCGAGCUCCCUUUUAUCGGAGGGACCG
Molecule: long non-coding RNA, 2390 nt
Organism: Puntigrus tetrazona (Sumatra barb)
Lineage: Eukaryota; Metazoa; Chordata; Actinopteri; Cypriniformes; Cyprinidae
Exons: 12
Source: RefSeq, a predicted model, not a curated record